UUAUGGAGAGUUUGAUCCUGGCUCAGGACGAACGCUGGCGGCGUGCCUAAUACAUGCAAGUCGAGCGGAGCACUUCGGUGCUUAGCGGCGGACGGGUGAGUAACACGUAGGCAACCUGCCUAUAAGACUGGGAUAACUAUCGGAAACGAUAGCUAAGACCGGAUAACUGAUUUUCUCGCAUGAGAGAAUCAUGAAACACGGAGCAAUCUGUGGCUUAUAGAUGGGCCUG
This 229-nucleotide ribosomal RNA is filed under the name Paenibacillus anseongensis. RNAcentral's name for it is "partial 16S ribosomal RNA". It matches the Rfam family "Bacterial small subunit ribosomal RNA", at positions 1 to 233 of the family's 1533-position model. Lineage: Bacteria; Bacillati; Bacillota; Bacilli; Caryophanales; Paenibacillaceae. The record is from RNAcentral.